RNAcentral lists this long non-coding RNA (2744 nucleotides) under Gallus gallus (chicken). RNAcentral describes it as "lncRNA (ENSGALG00010019647.1)". Lineage: Eukaryota; Metazoa; Chordata; Aves; Galliformes; Phasianidae. The record is from RNAcentral.
GCACUUGGCUUUGACAAGCCUGACAGAGACCUACGUACUCUGCAACACGGUAAUGGCUGGCACUGAAAUGAAAAGAGCUUGGAUAAUGAAUAAAGAAUAUUUUUGUAGCAUGACUCAUAAGUAAUACAAAGACAUCUCUGGCAAUGUCUGUACUAAUUACAGACUAGUUGCUAUGUUGUUACAAUCGUGGAUAUUAAGUGUGUGGGAUGCUGAAGUGUGUGGGCAUCCUGCUAAGCCUGAGCUCAGCUCCCUGCCACUGUAAUCCUGUCUGUCCCAGCUGGAAAGUGGGCAAUGUAUGUAGGUGCCUAAAUACGGGCUGAGGAUGACUAAAUGUGUCUUAAAUUACGUUUUUUGCUGUUUUUCCCUCUUGGUCACAAACUUUUUGAGCUGUCAGAAAAUGUGAAGAAUGUCACGUGCUGUGGAUUGAAGUGCUGAAGGUGAUGCUCCAUGUGACGCUCCCCUCAGUUUUCUGCUCUAUUGCUGACAUUCAGGUGGAUAAACCAGGAGUAUUCUGAAUGCUGCAUUCUACUGACGUGCUAGAGGCUCUUAUAUUCAAGACUUCUUUAUUCUGCUUGGGAAAUCACAUCUUUACCUGUUCCUCUGCAUAUGAGCAUCAACUUUCCCUGAACAUAAAACACACUGUAGUAGUUGUGGUCUGGCUUCUCAUGCUGCCCUUUUCCCACCAUUUGUAGGAAAUUUGUUAAUGACUGAGGGAUAAAGACAUCAAGGCGUCUGGUCUUAUCUCAGCACGCUGAGUUAAUGGGAUAAUGCCAUUCCCUGUUUCCUCUGUGGGAGAUCAUGACUGGAAAACCAGGAAGGAAACGAUGCUGCUGCUGUGUACCGGCGGCUCUGCACCAAUCUGUCUGCAGCAUAUCGAAAGGAAACUACUGCUGGUGCUUAGACUGGUGGUUGUGUGCAAUGGGUAGCAGAGAGUACUGAAAUUAUUUGAAAGAAAUCAAUGCGGAAAAGGCAGAGGAGAUCCAUCAGUGUUUUACAUGCUGUUAAAGGGAGCGGGUUGGUUCGUGGGAUGAAAAAUACCGGAACAGGGGCCAGAAGGUCAAUCUGGGGGCACAAGUGGGGAAUUAGUUGUUCUCUAUUAAGAGAUGGCAUUAGAAAAGCCACUUUUGCCUGUGACACUUGCUGACAUGGAGAAUCAUCAUAAACUCCCUAUUCCAGUUAUUGUCAAUAAAAAAAUCUCUUGAACGCCCAGGCUUAUGUCUCAACUAAGGAGACAUCUGAGAAAGGCAUAUAUCACUAGGAACGGUGCUUUGAAUUUUUGUAAUAUCCGGGAUAAUUUUAUCAGAGAAGGUUUUAUGUGGUGAUGCAUUACAUUAACCCAGCGCCGUGCAAGACAUGUGGAAAUUAGUGAUGGAUUAGAUUUCAGAAAGCUUAUGAGAAGAGUCUUGCAAGACCUUUAACCUUAAAAUCGUUCAUAGCUGAGCAAUCCAUUAAAAUAAGCAUUAAAAUAAUCCUUGGCUGGUACAGUAGUAAGAAAUAUGCUGGUGAUUAAUAGGUUUUGGUUAUUUUCUUAACAGUUUAAUACCUAGCUGCGCGGAAAAUACCCCUGAUGAUGGCUAACACAAUGCAUUACUCCAUUGGGCAAAAAAUUGGAUGUGGAGCUGAGAAACAUACAUGUCUUCAAGUCUUGCGGUGGCAGUGGUGGCAUUUCACGCUCACACACGUCCCAGCUGGGUGAGGGCUCAGUUUUACCCGUGUAGUGGUUUCCUUGGUGUCAGAACAGAUUAUCCUGCCAACGCACCGAUCUGACAGUCAUGUCUACGCUGUUUUACGGAGCCUGGCUGCCUAAUGUCACCCAGCAUAAUUUUCAGGGCUGGAAAUAGCAGCUUAAUGGUGGAAGUGCAAAUCAGAUUUUCCUGUCGGCCACUCGUCCCGCUGGCAGCAUGCAGGGCUUGCUGACUCCGCAGGGAACAAGAUCACUGUGAAAAGAUUCAUCACCAGUGACGAGUGCUGGAAUAUAUAUGUCUGCAUAGAAAACAUUGCCAACAGCCUGCAUUUUGGGCUGCUGGUGCGUGGCUUGCUGCUGCAGAAUAGGAAUUUCUCUUCCAAGUUGUUCUUUGUGGCUCCUUUCACUGUUGUUUUUAAUCAGCAGUGCUGCAUGCGGGCUGGGCAACCAAAGGGUCCUGGGCAGCGGCUGGGCAAUGUGAGUGUGCUUGGCAUCAUCGCUGCUGCCUUCUCACAGAGUAGCUCCCUGUAGGGACCACAGUCAUUCAAUUGCAAAGGCUUUUUCCUUUGCUAGAGGGGCUGUAAGAUGAGUUACAAACUCAUUCCUCUCCGGUUUUGCUGGUAGAAACUUCUUCCAUUGUCAGUGCUGUUCUGACAUGGGUCUUCAGUUUGAUGUACUUUGAAUGACACACGUACACUUGAUGCAUACUUUCAGGUCUUUUUUAAGUAAAUCUCCAACUCAUCCAACUCUUCCUGAUGCGCUACCUGAGUUUAACAGGAAAGUGCUGCUAACUCCAGUCGCUGCCUACUCAGCUCUACAGAUCUGGUGGUGUUAUUUUCCAUCACUAAUCACAAAAGCUACUUGUUUUAUCAUUGCAAGAAUUGCAUUAGCUCUGCUGACCAAGGCAGGCCAUUAACCUUGGCUGCAGCAGCUCCUGGAAUGAACACGGAGACCUUUGGUAUACAUCACACAGCAACUCUGGGAGCCUGCAUCUCCUCCCACCUUUCUCUUCCAGAUGUCAGGUGUUAGUGCAAUGUGCCAAGGUUUCACAUUAGUAAUC